AGUGAACGCUGGCGGUAGGCCUAACACAUGCAAGUCGAACGGCAGCACAGUAAGAGCUUGCUCUUACGGGUGGCGAGUGGCGGACGGGUGAGGAAUACAUCGGAAUCUACUUUUUCGUGGGGGAUAACGUAGGGAAACUUACGCUAAUACCGCAUACGACCUACGGGUGAAAGCAGGGGAUCUUCGGACCUUGCGCGAUUGAAUGAGCCGAUGUCGGAUUAGCUAGUUGGCGGGGUAAAGGCCCACCAAGGCGACGAUCCGUAGCUGGUCGGAGAGGAUGAUCAGCCACACUGGAACUGAGACACGGUCCAGACUCCUACGGGAGGCAGCAGUGGGGAAUAUUGGACAAUGGGCGCAAGCCUGAUCCAGCCAUACCGCGUGGGUGAAGAAGGCCUUCGGGUUGUAAAGCCCUUUUGUUGGGAAAGAAAAGCAGCAGGUUAAUACCCCGCCGUUCUGACGGUACCCAAAGAAGAAGCACCGGCUAACUUCGUG
Molecule: ribosomal RNA, 492 nt
Filed under: uncultured bacterium
Lineage: Bacteria
Description: partial 16S ribosomal RNA
Rfam family: Bacterial small subunit ribosomal RNA
Source: RNAcentral